This 460-nucleotide ribosomal RNA is filed under the name Celticecis spiniformis. RNAcentral's name for it is "partial large subunit ribosomal RNA". It matches the Rfam family "Eukaryotic large subunit ribosomal RNA", at positions 329 to 657 of the family's 3401-position model. The record is from RNAcentral. Lineage: Eukaryota; Metazoa; Arthropoda; Insecta; Diptera; Cecidomyiidae.
CGAAACCGAUAGCGAACAAGUACCGUGAGGGAAAGUUGAAAAGUACUCUGAAUAGAGAGUUAAAUAGUACGUGAAACCGCUUAGGGGUUAAGCCCGAUGAACCCGAAUAUCUGAUGUGAGAAAUUCAAUACAAUUCAAAUUCAUAUUUUUAUAUUGGAUUUGUAUAGUAUGCACUUUUCUCAUAGUAAGACAUUGUAAUCCAUUGAUAUUAUAUCUCAAUUUCGAGAUGAUUUAACAUACGGACAAAAUGUUUAUGAUUAUUCUAUCAGUGAUAUGUUUACAUGUCAUAUGAAUAAAAUCGUUUUAUACCUGUUUAAAUAGUCGAUGGAUUUUUCAUUGAAAUCAUGCUUGCAAUUUAUUUUGCGUUUCGUAUCAUUAAUUUUUAAUUUUUGAUAGCAGAAAUGGCAUGUAUUCGAUUAACAAUGCGAUAGAUUUGGGAUACUUUCAGGACCCGUCUUGA